GGAACGACACUGUGUGUUGUUGGGUAGGGGAGCGUUCUGUAAGCCUGUGAAGGUGGCCUGUGAGGGUUGCUGGAGGUAUCAGAAGUGCGAAUGCUGACAUAAGUAACGAUAAAGCGGGUGAAAAGCCCGCUCGCCGGAAGACCAAGGGUUCCUGUCCAACGUUAAUCGGGGCAGGGUGAGUCGACCCCUAAGGCGAGGCCGAAAGGCGUAGUCGAUGGGAAACGGGUUAAUAUUCCCGUACUUGGUGUUACUGCGAAGGGGGGACGGAGAAGGCUAUGUUGGCCGGGCGACGGUUGUCCCGGUUUAAGCGUGUAGGCUGGUUUUCCAGGCAAAUCCGGAAAAUCAAGGCUGAGGCGUGAUGACGAGGCACUACGGUGCUGAAGCAACAAAUGCCCUGCUUCCAGGAAAAGCCUCUAAGCAUCAGGUAACAUCAAAUCGUACCCCAAACCGACACAGGUGGUCAGGUAGAGAAUACCAAGGCGCUUGAGAGAACUCGGGUGAAGGAACUAGGCAAAAUGGUGCCGUAACUUCGGGAGAAGGCACGCUGACACGUAGGUGAAGUGAUUUACUCAUGGAGCUGAAGUCAGUCGAAGAUACCAGCUGGCUGCAACUGUUUAUUAAAAACACAGCACUGUGCAAACACGAAAGUGGACGUAUACGGUGUGACGCCUGCCCGGUGCCGGAAGGUUAAUUGAUGGGGUCAGCGCAAGCGAAGCUCCUGAUCGAAGCCCCGGUAAACGGCGGCCGUAACUAUAACGGUCCUAAGGUAGCGAAAUUCCUUGUCGGGUAAGUUCCGACCUGCACGAAUGGCGUAAUGAUGGCCAGGCUGUCUCCACCCGAGACUCAGUGAAAUUGAACUCGCUGUGAAGAUGCAGUGUACCCGCGGCAAGACGGAAAGACCCCGUGAACCUUUACUAUAGCUUGACACUGAACAUUGAGCCUUGAUGUGUAGGAUAGGUGGGAGGCUUUGAAGUGUGGACGCCAGUCUGCAUGGAGCCGACCUUGAAAUACCACCCUUUAAUGUUUGAUGUUCUAACGUGGACCCGUAAUCCGGGUUGCGGACAGUGUCUGGUGGGUAGUUUGACUGGGGCGGUCUCCUCCUAAAGAGUAACGGAGGAGCACGAAGGUUGGCUAAUCCUGGUCGGACAUCAGGAGGUUAGUGCAAUGGCAUAAGCCAGCUUGACUGCGAGCGUGACGGCGCGAGCAGGUGCGAAAGCAGGUCAUAGUGAUCCGGUGGUUCUGAAUGGAAGGGCCAUCGCUCAACGGAUAAAAGGUACUCCGGGGAUAACAGGCUGAUACCGCCCAAGAGUUCAUAUCGACGGCGGUGUUUGGCACCUCGAUGUCGGCUCAUCACAUCCUGGGGCUGAAGUAGGUCCCAAGGGUAUGGCUGUUCGCCAUUUAAAGUGGUACGCGAGCUGGGUUUAGAACGUCGUGAGACAGUUCGGUCCCUAUCUGCCGUGGGCGCUGGAGAACUGAGGGGGGCUGCUCCUAGUACGAGAGGACCGGAGUGGACGCAUCACUGGUGUUCGGGUUGUCAUGCCAAUGGCACUGCCCGGUAGCUAAAUGCGGAAGAGAUAAGUGCUGAAAGCAUCUAAGCACGAAACUUGCCCCGAGAUGAGUUCUCCCUGAGACUUUAGGUCUCCUGAAGGAACGUUGAAGACGACGACGUUGAUAGGCCGGGUGUGUAAGCGCAGCGAUGCGUUGAGCUAACCGGUACUAAUGAAC
This 1725-nucleotide ribosomal RNA is filed under the name Salmonella enterica subsp. enterica serovar Bovismorbificans. RNAcentral's name for it is "partial 23S ribosomal RNA". It matches the Rfam family "Bacterial large subunit ribosomal RNA", at positions 1205 to 2909 of the family's 2925-position model. Lineage: Bacteria; Pseudomonadati; Pseudomonadota; Gammaproteobacteria; Enterobacterales; Enterobacteriaceae. The record is from RNAcentral.